UGGGGAAUUUUGGACAAUGGGCGAAAGCCUGAUCCAGCAAUGCCGCGUGUGUGAAGAAGGCCUUCGGGUUGUAAAGCACUUUUGUCCGGAAAGAAAUCCUUGGCUCUAAUACAGUCGGGGGAUGACGGUACCGGAAGAAUAAGCACCGGCUAACUACGUGCCAGCAGCCGCGGUAAUACGUAGGGUGCAAGCGUUAAUCGGAAUUACUGGGCGUAAAGCGUGCGCAGGCGGUUUGCUAAGACCGAUGUGAAAUCCCCGGGCUCAACCUGGGAACUGCAUCGGUGACUGGCAGGCUAGAGUAUGGCAGAGGGGGGUAAAUUCCACGUGUAGCAGUGAAAUGCGUAGAGAUGUGGAGGAAUACCGAUGGCGAAGGCAGCCCCCUGGGCCAAUACUGACGCUCAUGCACGAAAGCGUGGGGAGCAAACAGGAUUAGAUACCCUGGUAGUCCACGCCCUAAACGAUGUCAACUAGUUGUUGGGGAUUCAUUUCCUUAGUAACGUAGCUAACGCGUGAAGUUGACCGCCUGGGGAGUACGGUCGCAAGAUUAAAACUCAAAUGAAUUGACGGGGUCAUAGCUGUUUCCU
RNAcentral lists this ribosomal RNA (584 nucleotides) under uncultured bacterium. Its description in RNAcentral is "partial 16S ribosomal RNA". It matches the Rfam family "Bacterial small subunit ribosomal RNA", at positions 355 to 1375 of the family's 1533-position model. The record is from RNAcentral.